Molecule: ribosomal RNA, 565 nt
Filed under: Ensifer meliloti
Lineage: Bacteria; Pseudomonadati; Pseudomonadota; Alphaproteobacteria; Hyphomicrobiales; Rhizobiaceae
Description: Sinorhizobium meliloti bacterial SSU rRNA
Rfam family: Bacterial small subunit ribosomal RNA (bases 84-539)
Source: RNAcentral
CCGAUAUAGCGGAACCCGCCGUCCACGUUCUCUUUCUCACAAGUAACGAACCACGCCGCUACUAGUUGCGUGCUUAACGAAUGGGCCGCACAAGCGGUGGAGCAUGGGUUUAAUUCGAAGCAACGCGCAGAACCUUACCAGCCCUUGACAUCCCGAUCGCGGUAACGAGAAUCGUAUCCUUCAGUUCGGCUGGAUCGGAGACAGGUGCUGCAUGGCUGUCGUCAGCUCGUGUCGGAGAUGUUGGGUUAAGUCCCGCAACGAGCGCAACCCUCGCCCUUAGUUGCCAGCAUUCAGUUGGGCACUCUAAGGGGACUGCCGGUGAUAAGCCGAGAGGAAGGUGGGGAUGACGUCAAGUCCUCAUGGCCCUUACGGGCUGGGCUACACACGUGCUACAUGGUGGUGACAGUGGGCAGCGAGACCGCGAGGUCGACGUAAUCUCCAAAAGCCAUCUCAGUUCGGAUUGCACUCUGCAACUCGAGUGCAUGAAGUUGGAAUCGCUAGUAAUCGCAGAUCAGCAUGCUGCGUGAAUACUUCCGGCCUUGUACCCCGCCGUCACACCAUGGAG